RNAcentral lists this small RNA (100 nucleotides) under Pan troglodytes (chimpanzee). Its description in RNAcentral is "processed transcript". Lineage: Eukaryota; Metazoa; Chordata; Mammalia; Primates; Hominidae. The record is from RNAcentral.
CCAGGAGGGAGGAUGGCUGGCCGGUCGGGGACGGCGUCGCUCUGCCCCUCCGGCCGAUUCUCAGUCCCAUUGGUUCCUCCUGGUUUUCUCCUGCCUCGUG